AGAAGACGUCACGCCAGACAUCAUCAGGAAGUCGACCACUACUUCUCAGUCAUCAGUGACUUUCUCUCGGUGUCUUUAAAAAUGUAUGUCUCCCUGGCUUGACCAGGCAUUGCAGAACCCUGGACCCUCACUGGAGAUGGGAAGCUGUCUGACGAGUUUUCCCUUCCAUGUAGAGGAAGUCAAAAGGUAGACUUUUGGCAACUUUUGCUGAGCAAUAGUACUUACUAGAGUCCGGCUACGCUGUGAUCUUCCGGCACAGACACCGCUCCUUAUAUCCCUUCACUCUGGGAUUAAUCUGCUGGACAAUAGAAGAGUGUGAAGAGUGUGUGUGUGUUGGAAUGUCAGUCCUGAUGCGUUACCAGGCGGUAAAUGAGGCACGGCUUCUUCUGCCUGUGGAGUUCAGCACCCUGUCGGAGUACCUGCACCACCUCAAAGCUGCAGCACAGGCACUCAGACCCAUAGGGUCCAAGGCCAUGUUUUAUUUGGCUGCAGCAGUGUCAGAUUUUUACAUUCCAACAUCAAAAAUGCCCGAGCACAAAAUCCAGUCCUCCAAUGGACCACUUCAGAUCAGUAUGAAGAUGGUCCCCAAGAUGUCGCAUUUGGGAUUUCCUUCAAGCUGGAGAUGGACCCGUCCAUCCUGCUGGACAGAGCUCGGCGGGCACUGGACAACAGGCUGUGGUGGCCAGCGUACUGGACACCAGACGAGGUUAUGUAGUGGUGGUGACCCCUUACACUCAGGCCAAGCUAGUACUUACGGAUGAGGAAGCAAGCAAAGAUGUGGAGAUCAAGGACAGUAUUGUCAGUAACCUGACCAGAGCUCACGGCCAAAUCAUAACCCAACAAGACUGAGACCCCAGAGGUGUUUUCAUUAGUUGCAAUGGAAACUUCACUCCAAACAGAAAACGUUAUGCAACAAAAACAAGUUACAACUGGACAAAUUCAUGGACGUCCCUCCCCGUUUGAUAUGUUUUCUUCCUAGAGUAAGAAAGCUUCUCACAGAAUUUGACUAAUGAAUACACUCCAGUUAACUGUGCUGCUUACUGUGAAGGCUGGCUUUGGUGGUCCGAUGAAACACACUAACGUGUCGUACAAGUCCCUGGGGCAGGGCACUAGCUCUACUUUCUUCUGAAAUCUUAAUUCAUGCUUGUCUAGUUUGGAUCUUUAUUUUAUCUUGCAGGGCAUUCACCGUCCUAGAUCAGACAUUCAUGUGCAUGCAUAUGUAGGUUUCAGUACACACUCUGCCUUUAAAAAUCUAAUAUUUACAUAAUCACAGAAAAACAAUCCUUGAUCACCUUAACUUUAAGUAUCAUACCAUCUUAUGUCACAAGGCAGAUUACAACAUAUUGGUUGUGGAAUGAUAAUGCCAACCAAUGAAUUGACUUAACCUCAUAGCAGUUUGUCAGAGUAAUAUCACAGACAGAGUACAUCAGUAAAGUAACAGACUCGGAACAUUAAACCUUAACUGUAUUUUGGUAUUUUAUGUGCUGGUCAAAUCACAAAUCUACUCCACAGAGGGAACAGUCUUCCUUGAAGGCAUGACACCCCAUACAGCUAGCUAUCAGUGAUUGUGUAAUUUACUUGGUUAUGAGUUUGAUAUGAAGUCCAGCACGAAUACCAGACAGCUCUCCACUGUAUCUUGUCUCCUCACAACAGACUUCACGAACCUGGAAUACAUUCAAGAUUUUAAUGUAGGUUUUUUUUUUAAAUACACUUGGAAUUCAAUUUGAUCCAUAAUUGACACUAGUUAAAUUAUACAAGUUGUCAAUUUUGCUAUCAAAUACUGUAUAUCAUAUCAGCAUACACACUACAAAGCAGGAUCAAGGAGUUAGCCAGAUAACUUGCCUCAAUAUUCUGAACUAAUAAAUAACUAAGCUUGAAUUGGGCUAUGGUCUAAUUAACUCAACCUUAGUUUAUUUUUCUAAAUGAUUCAGAAAAUCAACAGUUAUUUCUGGUUGUUAAUCAAAGUAAGCUGGCUAACUCAUUGGUUCUGCUUUGGAGUAUACCCCUCAGAGGUCCUGAAAGAUGUGCCUGCAGGAGGUGUAAGUAAUGCCUGCAAAACACUUCUCAUACAUUGGAUUUGUAUACAUUUUAUACACUGCAACUUCAAGUUUCAAAUGUAGUCUACAAACUGGUCCCUUUAUGCGGUCUUGGCUCGUCUGAAAUUCUCUGUUUGACUCUGGGAUUGCGGUCAGUCUUCCUCUUCGGUGUAAACCCUUGGUUCUUGGCCAUUAGCGGAAAGGAUCGAGCAGCAUGUACAAAUUAGACAAAAGGUUUAAACCGGGAAGGGAAUACUCGAACAUAUAAAGUACUAGAAUAAUCUGAUGACGGUCAUGAUUUGAAGUACUGGGUGAAAAUGGUUUCUUAAUAUUGUGCUUUGUACAAUGAGUAUGGAAACAAGAGACAUGGUAAAAAGUUAAUAUUGUACAUGAAGGCUAAGCUGUACAAUAAAUAAUUACUGCUGUA
Oncorhynchus kisutch (coho salmon) is the source of this 2463-nucleotide RNA transcript. It is a transcript of the gene named phosphopantothenate--cysteine ligase-like, with no coding region annotated. NCBI's taxonomy places the organism in Eukaryota, Metazoa, Chordata, Actinopteri, Salmoniformes, Salmonidae. The record is from RefSeq and is a predicted model, not a curated record. The transcript has 4 exons.